GUAAUUUAUGGAACUAUAUCUUGUAUCUUUCAUUAUAUAAUAUGGAAGCUUAUGUAUUAUGAAAACAAGUGAAGUGAAUGAAAGAUGCAGUCUUUGUGUGCUUUUCUCCCUUCCUUCCUCUCUUUCUUGUUGUUCUCUCUUUCUAAAAAUUAGCAUGGUAGUCUUUGUGUGCUUUCUCCCUUCAUUCCUCUCUUUCUUGCUGUUCUCUCUUUCUAAAAAUUAACAUGGUAUUAAAGCCUACAUAAAAUU
Molecule: unclassified non-coding RNA, 249 nt
Filed under: Hevea brasiliensis (rubber tree)
Lineage: Eukaryota; Viridiplantae; Streptophyta; Magnoliopsida; Malpighiales; Euphorbiaceae
Source: RNAcentral